UACUCCUACGGGAGGCAGCAGUGGGGAAUUUUGGACAAUGGGGGCAACCCUGAUCCAGCCAUUCCGCGUGAGUGAAGAAGGCCUUCGGGUUGUAAAGCUCUUUCAGCAGGAACGAAACGGUAGGCUUUAAUACAGCCUGCUAAUGACGGUACCUGCAGAAGAAGCACCGGCUAACUACGUGCCAGCAGCCGCGGUAAUACGUAGGGUGCGAGCGUUAAUCGGAAUUACUGGGCGUAAAGCGUGCGCAGGCGGCGACAUUAGACAGAUGUGAAAUCCCCGGGCUCAACCUGGGAACUGCGUUUGUGACUGUGUUGCUAGAGUGUAGCAGAGGGGGGUGGAAUUCCACGUGUAGCAGUGAAAUGCGUAGAGAUGUGGAGGAACACCGAUGGCGAAGGCAGCCCCCUGGGUUAACACUG
RNAcentral lists this ribosomal RNA (416 nucleotides) under uncultured bacterium. RNAcentral's name for it is "bacterial SSU rRNA". It matches the Rfam family "Bacterial small subunit ribosomal RNA", at positions 334 to 742 of the family's 1533-position model. The record is from RNAcentral.